UAAAAGUUCCCUCUACCCAGUGGGGCUUUUUCUAUAGACCUACAUCGCGGGAAAUGCCUUCUAGAGUAUAUGUGCAAUUUCCUUUAUUCACAGAACUUUGUGUUAGAUCUGUGGGAAAGACCUCCAGGACAUCU
Vulpes vulpes (red fox) is the source of this 134-nucleotide small nucleolar RNA. NCBI's taxonomy places the organism in Eukaryota, Metazoa, Chordata, Mammalia, Carnivora, Canidae. The record is from Ensembl.